This is a non-coding RNA of Ceratotherium simum simum (southern white rhinoceros), 149 nucleotides long. NCBI's taxonomy places the organism in Eukaryota, Metazoa, Chordata, Mammalia, Perissodactyla, Rhinocerotidae. The record is from RefSeq and is a predicted model, not a curated record.
GAUUAUUUAUUAAAUCUCAUUACUCAUUAUUGAUCUGUUCAGAUUUUCUAUUUCUUCAUGAUUCAGUCUUAAUAGGUCGUAUGUUUCUAGGAAUCUAACCACUUCUUCUAGGUUAUCCAAUUUGUUAGUGUAUAACUGUUUUAAGUGGU